Non-coding RNA from Monodelphis domestica (gray short-tailed opossum), 129 nucleotides. The record is from Rfam. Lineage: Eukaryota; Metazoa; Chordata; Mammalia; Didelphimorphia; Didelphidae.
CUAUAAAAGAUGUAACAGAUGCAAACUGUAAAACAAGGGCAAUUAACCCUUUCUCUGCCGGCAAACUCUGUCCUAGCCCCAGCACCUAUUGUCUACUGCUAUACUAGAAGCUUUGCAGAAAACCUGGAA